Molecule: ribosomal RNA, 92 nt
Filed under: Micropotamogale lamottei (Nimba otter shrew)
Lineage: Eukaryota; Metazoa; Chordata; Mammalia; Afrosoricida; Tenrecidae
Description: partial 16S ribosomal RNA
Source: RNAcentral
ACUAGAUCUAGCUGAAUAUUAUCAACCUAACCUAAUUAUAUAGAACUACUAAACCAAAACAUUUACACCGCUCAAAGUAUAGGAGAUAGAAA